GACGAACGCUGGCGGCGUGCCUAAUACAUGCAAGUCGAACGCAGUGGGGACGGGUGAGUAACACGUGGGUAACCUCCCAUCAGAGGGGAUAACACUUGGAAACAGGUGCUAAACCGAUACUGAUGGAUGGACCCGAGGUGCAUUAGCUAGUUGGUGAGGUAACGGCUCACCAAGGCCACGAUACAUAGCGAAGCUAAGAGGCCAACCAUCCCACCUAACAUUGAUCAACUGCCCUUACUCCCACGGGAGGAAGCAGCAGGGAAUCAACCGCAAUGGACGAAAGUCUGACCGGGCAACUCCGCGUGGGAGAAUAAGAUCUUCGGAUCGUAAAACCCUAUUGUUUGAGAAGCGUUAUCUAACCAAAAAGCCCCGGCUAACUGCCUGCCAGCAGCCGCGGAAAUAC
This 403-nucleotide ribosomal RNA is filed under the name uncultured bacterium. RNAcentral's name for it is "partial 16S ribosomal RNA". It matches the Rfam family "Bacterial small subunit ribosomal RNA", at positions 28 to 526 of the family's 1533-position model. The record is from RNAcentral.